Molecule: ribosomal RNA, 652 nt
Filed under: uncultured bacterium
Lineage: Bacteria
Description: bacterial SSU rRNA
Rfam family: Bacterial small subunit ribosomal RNA
Source: RNAcentral
CCCUUAGAGUUUGAUCCUGGCUCAGAUUGAACGCUGGCGGCAUGCCUUACACAUGCAAGUCGAACGGCAGCACGGGAGCAAUCCUGGUGGCGAGUGGCGAACGGGUGAGUAAUACAUCGGAACGUGCCCAGUAGUGGGGGAUAGCCCGGCGAAAGCCGGAUUAAUACCGCAUACGACCUACGGGUGAAAGCGGGGGAUCGCAAGACCUCGCGCUAUUGGAGCGGCCGAUGUCAGAUUAGCUAGUUGGUAGGGUAAAAGCCUACCAAGGCGACGAUCUGUAGCUGGUCUGAGAGGACGACCAGCCACACUGGGACUGAGACACGGCCCAGACUCCUACGGGAGGCAGCAGUGGGGAAUUUUGGACAAUGGGCGCAAGCCUGAUCCAGCCAUGCCGCGUGCGGGAAGAAGGCCUUCGGGUUGUAAACCGCUUUUGUCAGGGAAGAAACGCUUUGGGCUAAUACCCCGGAGUAAUGACGGUACCUGAAGAAUAAGCACCGGCUAACUACGUGCCAGCAGCCGCGGUAAUACGUAGGGUGCAAGCGUUAAUCGGAAUUACUGGGCGUAGAGCGUGCGCAGGCGGCUUUGCAAGACAGAUGUGAAAUCCCCGGGCUCAACCUGGGAACUGCAUUUGUGACUGCAUGGCUAGAGUGCG